This 137-nucleotide ribosomal RNA is filed under the name Salmonella enterica. Its description in RNAcentral is "partial 23S ribosomal RNA". It matches the Rfam family "Bacterial large subunit ribosomal RNA", at positions 2794 to 2925 of the family's 2925-position model. Lineage: Bacteria; Pseudomonadati; Pseudomonadota; Gammaproteobacteria; Enterobacterales; Enterobacteriaceae. The record is from RNAcentral. RNAcentral also lists the same sequence under 1 other name.
UUGCCCCGAGAUGAGUUCUCCCUGAGACUUAGAGUCUCCUGAAGGAACGUUGAAGACGACGACGUUGAUAGGCCGGGUGUGUAAGCGCAGCGAUGCGUUGAGCUAACCGGUACUAAUGAACCGUGAGGCUUAACCUU